UAGACGAAUUGCUCUACUGGCUGUGUGAUA
RNAcentral lists this non-coding RNA (30 nucleotides) under Mus musculus (house mouse). Lineage: Eukaryota; Metazoa; Chordata; Mammalia; Rodentia; Muridae. The record is from RNAcentral.